GAUGAACGCUGGCGGCGUGCCUAAUACAUGCAAGUCGAGCGAACGGACGAGAAGCUUGCUUCUCUGAUGUUAGCGGCGGACGGGUGAGUAACACGUGGAUAACCUACCUAUAAGACUGGGAUAACUUCGGGAAACCGUAGCUAAUACCGGAUAAUAUUUUGAACCGCAUGGUUCAAAAGUGAAAGACGGUCUUGCUGUCACUUAUAGAUGGAUCCGCGCUGCAUUAGCUAGUUGGUAAGGUAACGGCUUACCAAGGCAACGAUGCGUAGCCGACCUGAGAGGGUGAUCGGCCACACUGGAACUGAGACACGGUCCAGACUCCUACGGGAGGCAGCAGUAGGGAAUCUUCCGCAAUGGGCGAAAGCCUGACGGAGCAACGCCGCGUGAGUGAUGAAGGUCUUCGGAUCGUAAAACUCUGUUAUUAGGGAAGAACAGAUGUGUAAUUAACUGUGCACAUCUUGACGGUACCUAAUCAGAAAGCCACGGCUAACUACGUG
Molecule: ribosomal RNA, 497 nt
Filed under: uncultured bacterium
Lineage: Bacteria
Description: partial 16S ribosomal RNA
Rfam family: Bacterial small subunit ribosomal RNA
Source: RNAcentral